GCCUGUUUAUCAAAAACAUGGCUCCUCGUUUUGUUUGUCCUUAGAUGGGGAGUCGGACCUGCCCGGUGAAGUUUUUUAACGGCCGCGGUACUCUGACCGUGCAAAGGUAGCAUAAUCAUUUGCCUUAUAAUUGAAGGCUGGUAUGAAUGGUUUGACAAGAAUAUAACUGUCUCUCUGUGAUUUGUUAGAAUUUUAUUUGCGGGUGAAGAAGCUCGUAUUGUAUUAAAAGACAAGAAGACCCUAUCGAGCUUGAGGGGAGUUGGCGGUUGCUUAAGUCCGUGGAGUUAGGGCUAAAGUCCGUCGUAGACUUUGGUUGGGGCGACUGAGGAACAGGGGUAGCUUCCUUUAUUGUUUGUUUUCUGACUGGUGUUGAUCCAAGAGGUCUUGAUUGAAGGAAUUAGUUACCGUAGGGAUAACAGCAUUAUCUUUUUUGAGAGUUCUUAUCGAAAAAAAGGUUUGUGACCUCGAUGUUGGACCAGAAUGUCCUGAAGAUGCAGAAGUCUUCAAGGGUUGGUCUGUUCGACCAUUAAAAUUCUACGUGAUCUGAGUUCA
RNAcentral lists this ribosomal RNA (552 nucleotides) under Vasum sp. MITRI084-15. RNAcentral describes it as "partial 16S ribosomal RNA". It matches the Rfam family "Bacterial large subunit ribosomal RNA", at positions 1798 to 2613 of the family's 2925-position model. Lineage: Eukaryota; Metazoa; Mollusca; Gastropoda; Neogastropoda; Turbinellidae. The record is from RNAcentral.